RNAcentral lists this transfer RNA (86 nucleotides) under Propionibacteriaceae bacterium. Its description in RNAcentral is "tRNA-Leu". It matches the Rfam family "tRNA". Rfam says of the family: Transfer RNA (tRNA) molecules are approximately 80 nucleotides in length. Their secondary structure includes four short double-helical elements and three loops (D, anti-codon, and T loops). Further hydrogen bonds mediate the characteristic L-shaped molecular structure. tRNAs have two regions of fundamental functional importance: the anti-codon, which is responsible for specific mRNA codon recognition, and the 3' end, to which the tRNAs corresponding amino acid is attached (by aminoacyl-tRNA synthetases). tRNAs cope with the degeneracy of the genetic code in two manners: having more than one tRNA (with a specific anti-codon) for a particular amino acid; and 'wobble' base-pairing, i.e. permitting non-standard base-pairing at the 3rd anti-codon position. Lineage: Bacteria; Bacillati; Actinomycetota; Actinomycetes; Propionibacteriales; Propionibacteriaceae. The record is from RNAcentral.
GCGCGGGUGGCGGAAUAGGUAGACGCGCUAGCUUGAGGUGCUAGUGCCCGAUUAUGGGCGUGGAGGUUCAAGUCCUCUUUCGCGCA